This 1596-nucleotide ribosomal RNA is filed under the name Paroigolaimella stresemanni. RNAcentral's name for it is "SSU rRNA". It matches the Rfam family "Eukaryotic small subunit ribosomal RNA". The record is from RNAcentral. Lineage: Eukaryota; Metazoa; Nematoda; Chromadorea; Rhabditida; Diplogasteridae.
CAUGUCUAGGAUCAUAUCGGCUAAUGGUGAAUCUGCGAAUGGCUCAUUAUACCAGCUAUAACCUACUCGAUCGUCUCAUCCUAAACGGAUAACUGCGAUAAUUUUGGAGCUAAUACGUGCACCAAAGCCCGUGGUUCGCUGCGGGCGCACUCAUUAGAAUAAGACCACUCCGAGCUUGCUCGUUGCGGUGAACUCUGAAUGCAUCGCUGAUCGCAUGGCCUUGUGCCGGCGACAGAUCGAAAGGGUAGCUGCCUUAUCAACUAGAUGGUAGUCUACGUGUCUACCAUGGUUGUGACGGGUAACGGAGAAUAAGGGUUCGACUCCGGAGAGGGAGCCUGAGAAACGGCUACCACAUCCAAGGAAGGCAGCAGGCGCGUAAAUUACCCACUCUCAAUGCGAGGAGGUAGUAACUUUCAAUACCGAGACAGGUCUCUCUGAGGCUUGUUAUCGGAAUGGGUUCAGUCUAAACCCAAUAUCGAGGAUCUAUGAGAGGGCAAGUCUGGUGCCAGCAGCCGCGGUAAUUCCAGCUCUCAAAGCGUAUAUCGUCAUUGCUGCGGUUAAAAAGCUCGUAGUUGGACCUGAGUCUCGUGAGCGCGGUACACCUUGUGUGCAACCGUGUCUCCGGACUGAUGUUGGUGGUUGUCGCUUGCGGCGGCCAUCGACGUUUACCUUGAGUAAAUCAAAGUGCUCAACACAGGCGUUUCGCUUGAAUGUUCAUGCAUGGAAUAAUGGAAUAGGACUUCGGUUCGUUCUGUUGGUCUCAGAACCGUUGUAAUGGUUAAGAGGGACUGCCGGGGGCAUCCGUAUCGCUGCGCGAGAGGUGAAAUUCUGGGACCGCAGCGGGACGUCCGAAAGCGAAAGCAUUUGCCAAGAAUGUCUUCAUUAAUCAAGAACGAAAGUCAGAGGAUCGAAGGCGAUUAGAUACCGCCCUAGUUCUGACCGUAAACGAUACCAACUAGCGACCGAGCGGGGAACCGUUGUCUCAGCUCGGAAGCUUCCCGGAAACGAAAGUUUUCGGGUUCCGGGGGUAGUAUGGUUGCAAAGCUGAAACUUAAAGGAAUUGACGGAAGGGCACCACCAGGAGUGGAGCCUGCGGCUUAAUUUGACUCAACACGGGAAAACUCACCCGGCCCGGACACUGUUAUGAUUGACAGAUUGAGAGUUCUUUCUUGAUUCGGUGGUUGGUGGUGCAUGGCCGUUCUUAGUUGGUGGAGUGAUUUGUCUGGUCUAUUCCGAUAACGAACGAGACUCUAACCUGCUAACUAGUUUCGCGAUAGCUUGCUGUCGUGCGAACUUCUUAGAGGGAUACGUGGUGUUCAGCCACACGAUAAAGAGCAAUAACAGGUCUGUGAUGCCCUUCGAUGUCCGGGGCUGCACGCGCGCUACAAUGGUUGGAUCAGCGGGUUGCGCUGGGCCGAAAGGCUUGGCAAAACCGUUGAAAACCAGCCGUAACCGGGAUAGGGAAUUGCAAUUAUUUCCCUUCAACGAGGAAUUCCCAGUAAGUGUGAGUCAUCAGCUCGCGUUGAUUACGUCCCUGCCCUUUGUACACACCGCCCGUCGCUGCCCGGGACUGAGUUGCUUCGAGAAGUCUGAGGA